Molecule: ribosomal RNA, 472 nt
Filed under: Carnobacterium sp. D5
Lineage: Bacteria; Bacillati; Bacillota; Bacilli; Lactobacillales; Carnobacteriaceae
Description: bacterial SSU rRNA
Rfam family: Bacterial small subunit ribosomal RNA
Source: RNAcentral
GAACGCUGGCGGCAUGCCUAAUACAUGCAAGUCGAACGCUUUGAUUUCACCGGGUGCUUGCACCCACCGAGACAAAAGAGUGGCGGACGGGUGAGUAACACGUGGGUAACCUGCCCAUAAGAGGGGGAUAACAUCCGGAAACGGAUGCUAAUACCGCAUAGUUUCCAAUUGUCUCCUGACAGAUGGAAAAAAGGUGGCUUCGGCUACCGCUUAUGGAUGGACCCGCGGCGUAUUAGCUAGUUGGUGAGGUAAUGGCUCACCAAGGCGAUGAUACGUAGCCGACCUGAGAGGGUGAUCGGCCACACUGGGACUGAGACACGGCCCAGACUCCUACGGGAGGCAGCAGUAGGGAAUCUUCCGCAAUGGACGAAAGUCUGACGGAGCAAUGCCGCGUGAGUGAAGAAGGUUUUCGGAUCGUAAAACUCUGUUGUUAGAGAAGAACAAGGAUGAGAGUAACUGCUCAUUCCCUGAC